UAUUCGUGGACGUCCAUCAACUAAAAGAAUAGUUCACAUAUGUGGUCGGCCUCGCUGGGUUUUUGCUGUCAUAUUCUCUUCUGUAAGUUUCAUCCUUUGGUAUGUAUCCUGUGGUCUCUUGACUGUGAUAUGGACACUUGCUGUAGCACUUCUUGCCAUUCUCCUUCAUGCAUGUUUUAGAACACCGAACCUGAAGGCCCGUCUUAAUACUUUCCGUGAGGAGUUUCGUGCAGUUUGGCUCAAUUACAGAGAGCUAUGAGCUCACAGUCUAUAUCAUGUGAGUAUGCAUCCAAUUUUUAUGUUGAUUUAGUUUAUAUUUGAAUUUUAUUAAGGUUUUCAUUUGAUUAAGAGUUUAGUGCUGUUACUCUUGUUUUACUUUUAUACUUUCAGCUGUUAACCCGUUGUUCAUGUUCACCUCUUUUAUUGAUUAUCGAAUAUUGUGUAUAUUCAC
Molecule: long non-coding RNA, 451 nt
Organism: Hibiscus syriacus
Lineage: Eukaryota; Viridiplantae; Streptophyta; Magnoliopsida; Malvales; Malvaceae
Exons: 3
Source: RefSeq, a predicted model, not a curated record